CCCUUAGAUGUUCUGGGCUGCACGCGCGCUACACUGAUGCGCUCAACGAGUUUACGACCUUGCCCGGAAGGGUUGGGUAAUCUUUUUAAAACGCAUCGUGAUGGGGAUAGAUUAUUGCAAUUAUUAAUCUUUAACGAGGAAUUCCCAGUAAGCGCAAGUCAUCAGCUUGCGUUGAUUACGUCCCUGCCCUUUGUACACACCGCCCGUCGCUACUACCGAUUGAAUGGUUUAGUGAGAUCCUUGGAUCGGCCCUGUCGCGGCUGGCAACGGCCGCGUCGGCGCGUCGAGAAGACGAUCAAACUUGAUCAUUUAGAGGAAGUAAAAGUCGUAACA
RNAcentral lists this ribosomal RNA (333 nucleotides) under uncultured eukaryote. RNAcentral describes it as "partial 18S ribosomal RNA". It matches the Rfam family "Eukaryotic small subunit ribosomal RNA", at positions 1470 to 1796 of the family's 1831-position model. The record is from RNAcentral.